This 4261-nucleotide long non-coding RNA is filed under the name Homo sapiens (human). RNAcentral describes it as "HSALNT0192337". Lineage: Eukaryota; Metazoa; Chordata; Mammalia; Primates; Hominidae. The record is from RNAcentral.
GAAAAACUCACUACCCAGCCCACAGGCAGAGAAGGGAGUGGAGGCGGCCAGCGGUGUGUCUCAGAAGAGCUGUAAAUACUGUGCUGACACAGGGUUGCAUGUAACCACAAUUGGAGAAAUGCUUUCUACUAAGCCAAAGGUAAAUUGGCACUGCCAAUUGCUACUUCACAGAAAGUAAAAAUGAUGUUGAGAGGAAAGCAAGGAAGUAUGGGAUCUUGUGCUGCUGUUGUUACCUGGCUGCUCCAAAGAACCAUAAGAUUAUAACCAACUCAUCUUGGUUUGCCUGGGAUUUUCCUGGUUUAUCACUGAAAUUCCUGUAUCCUGGAAGACCCUUGAGCCCCAAGCAAACUAGGACAGUUGGUCACCUACUGAAGAAACUUCCUUAAAAAAGAGUUUGCACAGUUGUAGCUACCAGAAGAAAGCUCAGCAAAGAUUCAAAGUCCUUCUAAAAUGAUCCAGAUUGAGAAUACCAGCUGCUGGGGAAUCAUUAUUAGGCAUUACAUCAAGAGGAGGCAUCAAAAAUCCAACAGGAGAAGCUACCUUUGCUAACAAUAGCGAAGAGGCAGAAUUCAGAAUUCUUACUGAUUGGAGUCAUCACAAGAUUAUAUUAUAUUACAUUAUUAUAUUAGAUUAGAUGGUUUCUCCUGCUAGAAGCAACUUUUAUUUUUUUUAACUUUAGCAGUCUUUUAUUUCCAAAAUGAGUAAAUCAAUGGACAAAAAAGAAAUAGGAAGAAAAUGAAUUUGGCAUAACUCAUUACUAGAAAAGCAAUGUUCAUUUUGAAUAAUGGGAAACUGAAUUUGUGUGAAUUUGUGUGACAUCAUCCAAAGCCUCCAAUUUCACCAAUGUCAUUCCUUUGCAUCUGAGUCACACAGUUGGUAGUUUUUCACUUUAACUCUUCCAAAAUAAAAGUAAAUAAAAAUAUUCUAUUAGGAAACCUGAUAAAUUUUGAAACCCAAAAGCUCAAGCCAGUUCUAUAGACCUUGAAUUUUUCAACCUAGCACUAAAAUUGUCAGUAAUGGAUUGGAUAGAAUACAGGCUUACACAGAAACAAACAUGGUUGACUUUUUCCAGACACAGAAAAUAAGGUUACCAAUGUUAUAAAAUCUCUAAGUUGUAUCUACUUGGAGAUACUGUGCUUGAUAUCAGUGGUCCCGAUUUCAUUAGGAGAAAUCUGAUCAUCUUUCUGGAAUUGAAAACUGGAAAUGGCCCAGCUGGAUUUCCUUUUAGAAGACACAAGGUUUCUUGAAAUGAGCUAUCCAAAAGUAAGAUAUUCCUUUCUUGCACCAGUAAAGACUGAAUGAGCCUGAACAGGUGUUGCAUAAAUGACCACUUGAUCACCCAAAUGCAUGAGCCUCUCUUCUUUCUGGAUACAAGGUCAAGCCAAAUCAUGUUUUCUUGCCUCCCUUUUACUUAUGUGUGGCCAUGUACUAAAUUCUAGCCAAAAGAAAGGAAGCAGAAAUGAUAUGUGCUACUACCAAGAUUGGACUAUGAAAACCUACUACACAUUCUCCUCAAUGUAUGCUUCACUUCAAGUCUACCAAGAUGGUGGCUUACAGGGUAUCGAAAUCUGCUGAAGAUGAGAGAACCUGCAUUCACCUGGGAGCCCGAAUGACUGUUAAGAAGGUCGCCUGUCCAGUUGAUCACUUGACUGGUUUAUGUGGGGAAAAAUAUAUUCAGCAAGAGCUGAUAUGGUUUCAGGAGUAUUGCUAGAGAAGUUAGCCUACUUUCACCAAUUUGAACAAAAGCCGAAGAUAGGCUGCAUUAUGAAGGCACUGUUUCUAGGGCUUGCUGUAAAAGAUGAUAUCCAGGUAAUGAGCAUUCGUGAGGGCAGGUGAUGCCUUUUGCUAUGUGCCAUGUCAAUGCACAAGACAGACAUACUUUCUCUAAGGCAGUCUAUUUCCAGCAGAGAGUUUUCUUAAGUGUGAAAAGAUAUUGCAGUAGACAAGCAAGAUUUCUUUUUAUUUCUGCUAAAGGUAAUAAACAUUAAGGUCUCAUUUUAAAAAAUAUAAAUAAAUUGAAUUAUAGGUGAAAAGGAAUGCAUCAUGCUGCUACUUAACAUUUCUUUGAUUUCCCCAAAUGGAAAUUAUGAUUAAGCCUAAGUUUUAAGUUAUAAGUCAUUUGAGACGCUUCUGAAUGUUGUCUCCAAAUUUGUCUCCAUAUUUGAAGAACUAUGUAUUUCUCCAAGGACUCAUAAAGUGGAGAGCGGUCAAAUGUGCCAACAGCCUAAGAAAAGGAAAACUUUUAAGUGAAGGAAAUGUUGCUAAUAAGUGGAAAGGUUACGUUUUAUUGAGUAUACACAUUUAUGGUCAUAGUUUUAAGUUUCGCUUCAAGCAGCAUUGCCAAGAUUAAAGUUAUAAUUAAAUCCCCAUUUUAUAAAGAUGUCAGUUAGUUUUUUCAGUGAUUUUAUGAUUUAAUUAAGGACUAGGACAACUUAUUGCAAGCAUGAGUAGUUUUAAUAGUAAAAUAUAGUUUAGAUUACUAACUUGAUGUUCCAGAGGGACUGCUUCCUUGUGAAAGGGUAAUUCACUGUAAGACUUCCUUAUGUUCAAACCUGUUCUCUCUUCAUGCAGUGUAUUUUAUGACUCAGUUUUGUGGUUUCCACAUACAACUAUCCUAAUAGCAGCUGCUUCCCAACCUCCCCCCACCACACACACACACACACACACACACACACACACACACGUUUUUGUCUUACAGAUUUAGUUCUUUACUUGUGGUGAAACUAUUAGAAUAGAGGCAAAAUGCUACAUGAAUCUACAAAGAUAUACGUCUUCUAAUGAAAAUAGUAAUUACUUUUUCAUAAUUUCACAAAAUGAAUAAGCCUAAACAAACAAGACACAUGCAAUGACCAGAGGAAAAAAGAGGCAAUUCCUAAAACACAUGUACAAAGCUUCGUUUACACUGAGCUCCGGCCUUUUUUUGCCUCUUAAGGAAAUUUGUUUCAGUGGAGGAGUUGUGAGAGUACUUGUCACAUACAGGUAUCAGCUUUUUCCUACCACAAAGGAAAGAAAAAGAAAAGAAGCUGAUGAACCUGAUUAAUAAUAAUUUAGGGUGGCAGACGUAGAAGGGAGUCAGAGAUUCAUCCAGUGCAUUUUUAUAAUCUAAUAUUGGACAAAACUAAAUACACGUACAGGAUCACAAGAUGCCUUAACGGAGUCUAUAUUGGACAUACAAAGACUUGAUGAUUAAAGCUCUUAAAAACAGACAUCUGGUAAAUCUAUGACUGCAACCCUUAAGGGCUUAAAGGCGAAGAUAUUACUUAACUCUAAUGGAAAGGCCAUGUAAGAUAUUGGCUGGGCAUACUGCUACCUUCUGGGAAGCUCUCUGUAAAGGUGAGUUUAACUGUGAGAUGGGGACAGUACAUCUCAGGUGAGUAACUGUGAGGUGGGGAUCUAAUUCAUAGGGAGAAAUUUAAGUGUAAGUCAAUGAUUUAAAUCACUUAAAAUUUUGCCUACCCACCCUCCCCGACCCAGGGAACAUUGAGCAAUGUCUGGAGACAUGUUUGGUUGUGACAACUUGGGGACAUUUCUGCCAUCAAGUGCCAGAAGUAAGGAUCUUGCUAAACAUCCUGCAAUGCACAGGACAGCCCCCUACAAAAAAGAGUUAUUUGGCCCCAAAUGCCAACGGUAGCACCGUUGAGCAGGUCCUGAAUGAGGAGAAGCCAUGAGUCAGCCAAAGCCAUGGACACAACAAAAGAGAGUAGGGACAUUUAGCCUGUAGAGCACUAACAGUAAAAGCCAAAACAGACAGAAGCUUAGCUGACUGUCCACAGUGGCAGAGGUCUUGUAUGGAACAACGGAAGCCUACUUUUUAGAAGAAAAUGGGUCGUCCAAAGGGAAUCAAGUCUCUAGAACUAUCCUGAACCGUGACUCAUAUUGAAGUUCUCCCCAAAACCUGCUGAGACAUGUUCCUUUUCCUUACUGACGAACCUGUAAAAUAAACUCCUCUUACCUGUUAUACAGUAAGUAUGCCUCUUUUAUAUUUUUGUAUGCUGAAAUAUCCUAAAAGAACCUCCAAGUUUAAUUAUUUAUGUAUUAUAGUCUUAUGCUCUUUAGUAUUGAAUAUACAUUUAAAUACUAAUAAAAUAUUUUACCCAAAUCAUUUAUUCAUUUCUCAGAAUAUAUUCAAGUUGGUUCCCAUAUAUAUUGUUUUCCUGUACAUGGUAAAAUUAAACUUAUAGUACUGGCAUUGAUCCUUAAACAGGAUAUUCAAGAGCUGUUGAGUUAAAAUAAUUAAGAUUAUUUAAUAUGAAGAUGGACA